UGAAUACGAGAUGCUACGGCGUCGAAGCAGUCUAUGUCAUACUUCCAAGAAAAGCUUGCACUGUCAUAAACAAAUAAUGCCUGUACCAUAACCGACACAGGUGGGUAGGUAGAGUAUACUAAGGGGCGCGAGAUAACUCUCUCUAAGGAACUCGGCAAAAUGACUCCGUAACUUCGGGAGAAGGAGUGCCUUAUUUAUAAGGUUGCAAUAACAAGAUCCAAGCAACUGUUUACCAAAAACACAGGUCUCCGCUAAGUCGUAAGACGAUGUAUGGGGGCUGACGCCUGCCCAGUGCCAGAAGGUUAAAGAAGUUGGUUAGCAUCCGCGAAGCUGAUAACUGAAGCCCUGGUGAACGGCGGCCGUAACUAUAACGGUCCUAAGGUAGCGAAAUUCCUUGUCGGGUAAGUUCCACCCGCACGAAAGGCGUAAUGAUUUGGAUACUGUCUCGGAGAGGGGCUCGGUGAAAUAGACUUGUCUGUGAAGAUGCGGACUACCUGCACCAGGACAGAAAGACCCUAUGAAGCUUUACUGUAACCUGAAAUUGAAAUUGGACUUUACUUGCGCAGUAUAGGUGGGAGGCGUUGAGAAUAUUCUUGCGGGAUUAUUGGAGCCAUCAGUGAGAUACCACUCUUGUAAUGUUAGAUUUCUAACUUUGUAUCAUUAUCUGGUCAAAGAACAGUUUCAGGCGGGCAGUUUGACUGGGGCGGUCGCCUCCUAAACGGUAACGGAGGCGCACAAAGGUUUCCUCUGAACGGGUAGAAAUCGUAUCUAGAGUGUAAAGGCAUAAGGAAGCUUGACUGUGAGACCUACAAGUCGAGCAGGGACGAAAGUCGGUCUUAGUGAUCUGACGGUGCUGAGUGGAAAGGCCGUCACUCAACGGAUAAAAGUUACUCUAAGGAUAACAGGCUGAUCUCCCCCAAGAGUUCACAUCGACGGGGAGGUUUGGCACCUCGAUGUCGGCUCAUCGCAUCCUGGGGCGGUAGUACGUCCCAAGGGUUGGGCUGUUCGCCCAUGAAAGCGGUACGCGAGCUGGGUUCAGAACGUCGUGAGACAGUUCGGUCCAUAUCCGGUGUAGGCGUUAGAAUAUUGAGAGGAGCCUUCUUUAGUACGAGAGGACCGAGAAGGACAUACCUCUGGUGUACCAGUUAUCGUGCCAACGGUAAACGCUGGGUAGCUAUGUGUGGAGUGGAUAACCGCUGAAAGCAUCUAAGUGGGAAGCCCACCUCAAGAUAAG
RNAcentral lists this ribosomal RNA (1234 nucleotides) under metagenome. RNAcentral describes it as "bacterial LSU rRNA". It matches the Rfam family "Bacterial large subunit ribosomal RNA", at positions 1564 to 2808 of the family's 2925-position model. The record is from RNAcentral.